GUAGGUGGCAAGCGUUGUCCGGAAUUAUUGGGCGUAAAGCGCGCGCAGGCGGGGGUUUUUAAGUCUGAUGUGAAAGCCCACGGGCUCAACCGUGGAGGGUCAUUGGAAACUGGAGAACUUGAGUACAGAAGAGGAAAGCGGAAUUCCACGUGUAGCGGUGAAAUGCGUAGAGAUGUGGAGGAACACCAGUGGCGAAGGCGGCUUUCUGGUCUGUAACUGACGCUGAGGCGCGAAAGCGUGGGGAGCAAACAGGAUUAGACACCCUGGUAGUCCACGCCGUAAACGAUGAGUGCUAAGUGUUAGGGGGUUUCCGCCCCUUAGUGCUGCAGCUAACGCAUUAAGCACUCCGCCUGGGGAGUACGGCCGCAAGGCUG
This 374-nucleotide ribosomal RNA is filed under the name uncultured organism. Its description in RNAcentral is "partial 16S ribosomal RNA". It matches the Rfam family "Bacterial small subunit ribosomal RNA", at positions 527 to 896 of the family's 1533-position model. The record is from RNAcentral.